UACGAAGGGUGCAAGCGUUAGUCGGAAUUACUGGGCGUAAAGCGUGCGUAGGCGGUUUCUUAAGUCCGUUGUGAAAGCCCCGGGCUCAACCUGGGAAUGGCAGUGGAUACUGAGAGGCUAGAGUGUGUCAGAGGAUGGUGGAAUUCCCGGUGUAGCGGUGAAAUGCGUAGAGAUCGGCAGGAACAGCCCAGGGGGAAACCGAGCCGACUGGGCAUCUACGUGACGCUGAGGUGCGAGAGCGUGGGGAGCGAACCGG
Molecule: ribosomal RNA, 256 nt
Filed under: uncultured bacterium
Lineage: Bacteria
Description: partial 16S ribosomal RNA
Rfam family: Bacterial small subunit ribosomal RNA
Source: RNAcentral